GCAGUCGUGGCCGAGUGGUUAAGGCGAUGGACUUGAAAUCCAUUGGGGUCUCCCGCGCAGGUUCGAAUCCUGCCGGCUGCG
RNAcentral lists this transfer RNA (81 nucleotides) under Dermacentor silvarum. RNAcentral's name for it is "transfer RNA serine (anticodon UGA)". It matches the Rfam family "tRNA". From Rfam's summary of the family: Transfer RNA (tRNA) molecules are approximately 80 nucleotides in length. Their secondary structure includes four short double-helical elements and three loops (D, anti-codon, and T loops). The record is from RNAcentral. RNAcentral also lists the same sequence under 1 other name. Lineage: Eukaryota; Metazoa; Arthropoda; Arachnida; Ixodida; Ixodidae.